Molecule: non-coding RNA, 340 nt
Organism: Coccidioides immitis RMSCC 2394
Lineage: Eukaryota; Fungi; Ascomycota; Eurotiomycetes; Onygenales; Onygenaceae
Source: Rfam
UUAAGGAACUCGGCAAAUUGACUACCGUAACUUCGGAAUAAGGAGGGCCAUUAUUCUUGAUAAAAAUUUUUGAUAUAUCAAGUAAAUAAGAGGAAGCAUAAAAUAAUGUUGUACGACUGUUUAAUAAAAACAAAGCACUCUGCAAAGAUUAAUAAUCAAAGUAUUGAGUGUGAUGUCUGCCCAAUGUCGGCUGGGUAACGAAUUUACUUAAUUGUAAAAUUAGGUUUUGAAGGAUACCCCGAUUAAUGGCGGUCUUACCUAUAAGGAUCCAAAGGUAGCGAAAUUCCUUGGCCGUUAAAUGCGGUCCUGCAUGAGUAAAAUUUGAGUUUAGGUAACUCGA